RNAcentral lists this ribosomal RNA (254 nucleotides) under uncultured bacterium. RNAcentral's name for it is "partial 16S ribosomal RNA". It matches the Rfam family "Bacterial small subunit ribosomal RNA", at positions 524 to 776 of the family's 1533-position model. The record is from RNAcentral.
UACGUAGGGUGCAAGCGUUGUCCGGAAUUAUUGGGCGUAAAGAGCUCGUAGGCGGUUUUGUCGCGUCGGCUGUGAAAACUCGGGGCUCAACCCCGAGCCUGCAGUCGAUACGGGCAGACUAGAGUGCUGUAGGGGAGACUGGAAUUCCUGGUGUAGCGGUGAAAUGCGCAGAUAUCAGGAGGAACACCGGUGGCGAAGGCAGGUCUCUGGGCUGAUACUGACGCUCAUGCACGAAAGCGUGGGGAGCAAACAGG